This 433-nucleotide ribosomal RNA is filed under the name uncultured bacterium. RNAcentral's name for it is "partial 16S ribosomal RNA". It matches the Rfam family "Bacterial small subunit ribosomal RNA", at positions 29 to 507 of the family's 1533-position model. The record is from RNAcentral.
AACGAACGCUGGCGGCAUGCCUAACACAUGCAAGUCGAACGAGACCUUCGGGUCUAGUGGCGCACGGGUGCGUAACGCGUGGGAACCUGCCCUUAGGUUCGGAAUAACUCCCCGAAAGGGGUGCUAAUACCGGAUAAUGUCUUCGGACCAAAGAUUUAUCGCCCUUGGAUGGGCCCGAGUUGGAUUAGCUAGUUGGUAGGGUAAAAGCCUACCAAGGCGACGAUCCAUAGCUGGUCUGAGAGGAUGAUCAGCCACACUGGGACUGAGACACGGCCCAGACUCCUACGGGAGGCAGCAGUGGGGAAUAUUGGACAAUGGGCGAAAGGCUGAUCCAGCAAUGCCGCGUGAGUGAUGAAGGCCUUAGGGUUGUAAAGCUCUUUUACCCGGGAUGAUAAUGACAGUACCGGGAGAAUAAGCGCCGGCUAACUCCGUG